RNAcentral lists this ribosomal RNA (445 nucleotides) under uncultured bacterium. RNAcentral describes it as "partial 16S ribosomal RNA". It matches the Rfam family "Bacterial small subunit ribosomal RNA", at positions 354 to 796 of the family's 1533-position model. The record is from RNAcentral.
GUAGGGAAUAUUGGUCAAUGGACGAAAGUCUGAACCAGCCAUUCCGCGUGCAGGAAGAAGAUUCUAUGGAUUGUAAACUGCUUUUAGCAGAGAAGAAACGCCUUCAUUGAUGAGGGUUUGACGGUAUCUGCGGAAUAAGCACCGGCUAACUCCGUGCCAGCAGCCGCGGUAAUACGGGGGGUGCAAGCGUUAUCCGGAAUCACUGGGUUUAAAGGGUGCGUAGGCGGGAAAUUAAGUCAGUGGUGAAAGUCUGUUGCUUAACGAUAGGAUUGCCGUUGAUUCUGAUUUUCUUGAAGUGGGUCGAGGUUAGCGGAAUGUGACAUGUAGCGGUGAAAUGCAUAGAUAUGUCAUGGAACACCAAUUGCGAAGGCAGCUAGCUGGGCCUCGAUUGACGCUGAGGCACGAAAGCGUGGGUAGCGAACAGGAUUAGAAACCCUUGUAGUCC